This 31-nucleotide non-coding RNA is filed under the name Mus musculus (house mouse). Lineage: Eukaryota; Metazoa; Chordata; Mammalia; Rodentia; Muridae. The record is from RNAcentral.
UACACAGAUCUGAGGUUUCAAGGGUUGCUUU